AUCUAGAUGAGGAAACUUAUCAGAAGACUGAAUCUACCAAUAAAAAAAUUUUUUUUUCCUUUCUCCAGACUACUACCUUGCUUGACCACUGCUGAUGACUGGCCAUUCUCAGCUUCACUUCAAGAAAUCUUGCAAAGCUCUGAGUAUCCACUGAAGAACUUGAAUGAACAACCACUUACUCGUGCUUCACUUUAUUUUGAUAUUGAUCCUUAUGUAGAUAUGUUUACUGUAUAGUUAAUAUUAGAGGCUUAGGCUGGGACCUUUUUUUUUGUCCACAUCCAAGCACGGAUGCUAAAAUGUGUUGGGAGAAGAACUUGGCAGAGUUUUUUUCCUCCUCCUCUUUUAUUGACCAAAUAUUCAUUCCCAUGUUAAUACCUUAGAGUCUGAUCAUUCAAUGCAUUGAUUAUUUACUUUCCACUCCUAUUGAUAGAAGCUGAUUCCACCUUGCUCUCAGAAGUGUAAAUGGAGGUUGGGAGAGUCGGUACUAACUCACAGUGACAGAAGAGUGGUCCUUCUGCUCUGUGAAUGGGAUAGUUCUCAACAUAAUUACACGUUUCACCAUUUAAUUCAAACGGCCUUCCCUCACCCAAAUCAUUUACCGUAGAGGAAGAGAAUGAAAACAAAAAGAUUAUAUGAUCCUUUAUACAUGUCAAUCCAGAAUCUCUUUUCUUCCUCCUCCUCCCCUAGCUGUGCAUGUUUCCCCGCUGCCUUGCAGCGGAGCGUGGGUGGAAUUCAGUGAAGGCACUUAUUCUACUUUUUUU
Molecule: long non-coding RNA, 761 nt
Filed under: Struthio camelus australis
Lineage: Eukaryota; Metazoa; Chordata; Aves; Struthioniformes; Struthionidae
Description: lncRNA (ENSSCUG00000018775.1)
Source: RNAcentral